ACCAAUUCUCUACGUUCAUAUGAUCUUGUUCUUGGAGCUUAAGAGCCAUAGACAAAAAUUCCAAUAGCAUGAAAAGGCACCAAGGUGAAAAAGAAAAACAACACAAGAAAACAUAAGGUCUGUUUUAUAGUAAGAACAUCACUAGAAAACUGUAGGUACCUAGUCCCUCACAAGAAUUAUAGUAAGAACAUCACUUGAAAACUGUAGGUACCCAGUCCCUCACAAGAACAAGAUCACUUUUCCAUCACUAAAUUGGGGAUUUUCAUCAUUGGCCACUUAUAUAAGAAAAGCCUUGCUAGCUUGUCCAGCUCAUGAGAAAGAAGGCUUCAACUUUCAAAAACAAAAUACUAAUCAAUGCUCAGAUUAAAAACAACCAUCAUAGCAAUAGACAUCGAAGGAUGGGAAUACAAUGAGUCAGAUGUAAUUAGGAAGGAGAAGCCAGGAAUAAUGAAAUAGUAGUAGGAAUCGUGCACGUACAAUUUUACAUCAUGGUAAGCAUGCUUACCUCUUACCACAAAUAUGCAGCUCCAACUAUGUACUAUUAAUUUAUAAGCUUAGAUCAAUGGAAAUCCAAAGAUGAUUAUAGGUUUAGAUACAAUCUAGCUCCUGAGAGAGUGUGAUAGAGAGGACAUCCAACCCAUAGCAACUCUAACCAAAAGAACUAAAGAGUAGAACUUGAAAAGAAUAUUUUAUACUGACAUUUAGAUUUCUUUAAUAUAGACUAUGAAAAUAAUCAGAGGCGAUUCUACUGAAUAAUGGAUGUGCUCACUGCAGAUUUUUACAGCUACAGCUAUGUUUGCAAAGAACAAACAAUAUCCAUUUACUAUGUGUAACCAUGGAUACAAAUAUAUAAUUUAAUCUCAGGUUGCAGUACUAAUGAACAUUUGACUAGGUUAAACUUAUCAAACGUGCAUAAAGGACAACCUACUGUAAUCUUAGGAACCAUACCUAUAAGCAUUAUACUUGUUGGGAAAUAAAACAAUACUAAAAUCUUUUUAAAUGACGCUAACACAAGCCAUUCCAUUCUUUUUAAAUGAGGUAUACAUUAAUAUUGCUAAAAUAAAUAAAUUCAUCAUAAAAAGGAAUAUUACAGGAUGACAUAAUCAUAGAGAAAUCCAAAAGUGGAGGUAUGGAAUAUGUUCGUCUAAACAUAUGACCGACAUCGUCAGUGAGUAGUUUGACAAAAAAAAAUAGACAGAUGCAUUUAUUCCAAACUGCCACAAAAACAAGCUAUCAGAGAUGUGCUAGUUUUAAGCAAAAAAGAAGCAAAAUCAAACUGCGAGACAUUUUGGGAUGAACAACCAACUAAAAGUGAUUAGAUCAAUUGAUAUUCUAUAUUGAGAAGCAACUUGACUAUCACACUUAAAUGAAAAUAGUUGAAGAGAGGAGAUCUGUGAGGAGAAAUUUGCUACUAACGACAAGGCAGCGGACAAUGAGGAGAUCUGUCAUGAUAUGUGCUAUUUGAUUUACCACUGCAUUUAAUCUUUCACAUAAACAUAAGAAGUUCUUGGGAAAAUCAAUAUCUGCUAAAAUUUUAGCUAUAUCUAACUAUUAGAACUAAACUUAGUAAAACUAAAAGCAACAUACCAAUAGAUGGCAAACUGAAUGCACAUACCAGAAAAUUAAAAUAUUUGCAUCUACAUUCAGUCAUGAAUUUAUUUUGUUUGAAAUGUAUCGAAGAAAAAGGAAAUUUUGUUUGCCGAAUAAAUAAAAUUAAACUUUUAUACUUAAAUUAAUACCUACUCACAUCUAACAACAAUUUAUUCAUACGCACAGGUAUACUAGAUGA
Molecule: long non-coding RNA, 1789 nt
Filed under: Sorghum bicolor (sorghum)
Lineage: Eukaryota; Viridiplantae; Streptophyta; Magnoliopsida; Poales; Poaceae
Description: long non-coding RNA (SBIC_LNC017283)
Source: RNAcentral